This 71-nucleotide transfer RNA is filed under the name Aspergillus nidulans. Its description in RNAcentral is "tRNA-Gly". It matches the Rfam family "tRNA". From Rfam's summary of the family: Transfer RNA (tRNA) molecules are approximately 80 nucleotides in length. Their secondary structure includes four short double-helical elements and three loops (D, anti-codon, and T loops). The record is from RNAcentral. Lineage: Eukaryota; Fungi; Ascomycota; Eurotiomycetes; Eurotiales; Aspergillaceae. RNAcentral also lists the same sequence under 1 other name.
GCACUAGUGGUCCAGCGGUAGGAUUUUCGCCUUCCAAGCGAAAGGCUCGGGUUCGACUCCCGGCUGGUGCA